RNAcentral lists this ribosomal RNA (862 nucleotides) under uncultured bacterium. RNAcentral describes it as "bacterial SSU rRNA". It matches the Rfam family "Bacterial small subunit ribosomal RNA", at positions 524 to 1381 of the family's 1533-position model. The record is from RNAcentral.
GACGUAGGAUGCAAGCGUUGUCCGGAUUUAUUGGGCGUAAAGAGUUCGUAGGGGGCGAAUCAUGUCUAAUGUUAAAUCAUAGAGCUUAACUCUAUACCUGCAUUAGAAACUGGUUCGCUUGAGCAAGGUAGGGGUCAGAAGAAUUCCUGGUGUAGCGGUGAAAUGCGUAGAUAUCAGGAGGAACACCGGUGGCGAAAGCGUCUGACUGGGCCUUUGCUGACGCUGAGGAACGAAAGCUAGGGGAGCAAAAGGGAUUAGAUACCCCUGUAGUCCUAGCCAUAAACGAUGGAUACUAGUUGUUGCGGGUAUCGACCCCCGCGGUGACGAAGCUAACGCAUUAAGUAUCCCGCCUGGGAAGUACGUUCGCAAGAAUGAAACUCAAAGGAAUUGACGGGGACCCGCACAAGCGGUGGAACAUGUGGUUUAAUUCGAUGCAACGCGAAAAACCUUACCUGGCCUUGACAUGUCUAGAAUCUGGUAGAGAUAUCGGAGUGCCUUCGGGAGCUAGAACACAGGUGCUGCAUGGUUGUCGUCAGCUCGUGUCGUGAGAUGUUGGGUUAAGUCCCGCAACGAGCGCAACCCUCGUUGUUAGUUGCCACCCAGCCGCAAGGUUGGAGCACUCUGACAAGACUGCCUCGGUUAACGGGGAGGAAGGUGGGGACGACGUCAAAUCAUCAUGGCCCUUACGGCCAGGGCUACACACGUGUUACAAUGGGCGCCACAACGGGAUGCAAUUGCGCAAGUAAUAGCCAACCCCUUAAAGCGCUCUCAGUUCAGAUCGUAGGCUGCAACUCGCCUAACUGAAGUCGGAAUCGCUAGUAAAUGCAGAUCAGCACGCUGCAUUGAAUACGUUCCCGGGUCU